RNAcentral lists this long non-coding RNA (700 nucleotides) under Sinocyclocheilus grahami. RNAcentral's name for it is "lncRNA (ENSSGRG00000034021.1)". The record is from RNAcentral. Lineage: Eukaryota; Metazoa; Chordata; Actinopteri; Cypriniformes; Cyprinidae.
GUUGGGAUACAGAGAGAAAGCCUGUGUGUGCGAACUGUAGGAGAGCAAGAGAGAGUAUACCGAGGAGCAUGCGCAAUUCUCUAUGACCGUGUGUGUGUGAGAGAGACGGAAAGAGAAAGAGAUCAAGAAAGGGAACGCACCGUUCUGUUGCACCACUCCUAGAGAGCCUGGAGACACUCUCACACUGUCUGACUCCUGUUCCAGCUCAGGGCUUCUGCAGGGACACACAUGCACGCAUGAGCACAGAGACACACACCACAGACGUGUCGUCACUGCCACUCCUGGCAGCCGGUGAUAUGUGGGAGUGCUAAGGAGAAGAAGGAGAGGUGGAAGUGGCUAGCGUUAAGCUGAAGCAGGAGGCCCAGCCGUUGCACCUGGCCUCUCACACAGCUCACCAUGUGAAUCGCUGCCGCCUCCUAGAGGAAAAGAACAGAGCUCUUAAACUAGAGCUAGCCACUCUCAGACAGCAGAAACAGCAACACAGAUCUCUGAGUCGUGCCUCUGUGACUGUGUAUGGAAGAGAGAGGAAAAACAACAAAACACCUUCAGGGAAGAUAUUCGAGUUUCUGGAGCGAAUAUCCCUUCUGCUGUUCCUCUAAUUGAAGCAUCCCGGAGAGAUAUAUACAGUCAAGGGUUUAAAACUAACCAGGUCUCUGCUACAUUCAUAUUAACAUCAGUUGCGUAAGGGUAUUUUCUAUAU